AAGAAUACAACUAUCUACGCCACGGUCGCUCUAGAAAUCGUGUGAAAAUAGCGAUCAUUGCAAUCAGUAAGGCCCAAGGACCUACCCGUAGUACCUACUGUCCUGAUUACUUCUUUUGUUUUGUUCGAUUUGAAACAAAAUUCAAUCAUAUUUCAUUCACUAUUGAUUUCAAAUUUUAAUUGCCAGAUUGCUAAGUUGAAUGGGCCUUACUGUCAAUGUCCGGGCCUUCUUUCUAGUCUUUAUUACUCUCUUAUUAUUAAUAAUCUCAAUGCCAAGUUGACAUCGUUAAUAAUUGUUGAGAACCAUUGUUCUAUCAAUUGUUCUAAAAAUUUAUAUAUAAUUUGUGCAGUUUACUAGAGUUCUAACUCUGCCUCGGCUUCGGAAGCAACAGAGUAGGUACAGCAACGCAACGCCACCAUAAACGUAAAUUUCCUAUGAACAUAGGACAAUCAUAGUGGACCUGUCACACUCUGCCGCUGCCAAGUCGAAGUUAGCGUAGACGAAUUUUAAUUACUUAUCAUUUAAAAUAAGUACCUAUAGACAGCUUUUCAGCACAAGUUGUAGGUAAUAUAGACUAACUCGAAUGAGAUAUUUUGCCAUAAAAAAAAGGUUAUCAUGAUGUUUUCUCAAGUCACCUUUUUUGUACUGACCACCUGUAGGCCUAAUGUUCUUGCAAUAAGGUCUACAAAUGGUUAGAGGGCCUACCGCGAAAAAAGGAAAUAAACUUUUCUUUAUCUGCCUCUAUCGCUCUUGCAUAUUCGAGUGAUAGAGAGGUAGAUACAGAAAUUUCGAUUUUUGUAGGGCCUCAGGUAAUGGGACAUUUUAUCUUUGACCUACGUACCUACUUAUUUCAAAUGUAAACCUCAUUUUCGCGGUACAAAGUGCAUUUUUCUUUAAAUGGAUGUUGCAUGUAAAUAGGUAUAUCGUCCAAUGAAGAAUGUCAAACAUACGUACCAUGUAGUAUUUGAGUUAUAUGUUAACAAAAUUAGCAUUGUUACCUACAGUCACGUGAAGGUGUUACUAGCUUGUAGCCGAUUAUCUUGUGUGCAGCUACGCUGUGAGUCCGAAUUCGUAAAAAACAAGUUUCUGACAAUUUUUUGUGACACUUAUUGCUGUUUAUUUACAACUUCUCAUUUGCGAGGCUAUCAAUUAUUUGCCAAGACGUUUUUAAUGAACCUAAACUCGGUGUGUUUGUGUUUUUUUGCUUCCUCCCGACUGUAUCAUGAUCGGCGCCAUGUUAUUGCAUUGUACACAUAUAGCAGCAUACACAUAUAGUAUAUAUAGGGUAUACAUAGGUCACUAGAUAGGUUUUGCGAUAGACAAAUAUGAAACAAAGACGUGGCCUAUCACGUAUGUUAAAAACUAUAAGUAUUUCCAAUGUUUGGACGGAAAACAUUUAAAUUUUAUUUUAUUUAGGUACUUAUUAAAAAAAUAGAUUUAAACUUUGAAAACGUCGGCGUGGGCUAAGAACGAUUUACGAUUAUUUUAUACAACAUUUUCAUUUCAUACAAAGUUUAUAUUUUUUUUGAAGUAUUUUAAAAAUAAAGUAAAUGUUUUCCGGCCAAUUAUUGUCUAUGCAUAUAUAGUUUAAAAAAAUAUAUGUGAUAGGCCACCUCUUUGUUUCACAUUUGUCUAUUGCUAAACUUAUCUCGUGACCUAUGUAUAGUCGCCAUCAGAUAUAUUUCGGAGCGGCCAAGGUGUUCGCAAAUAUCUGAACACGCCUCUAUUGUCAUGGCACUAGAGUGCGUGUUCAGAUAUUUUUGGUCACCUUGGCCACUCCGAAAUAUCUGAUGGCGACUGUACAAACAAAUAUAUGCAUUGAAGCUAAAUAAAAAAUUGCGUUCCAAGAUUCUAAAGCUUAUACGUCUCUUAUCUUUCGUAAGCACCUACUUAUUGAAAAUAAUUUGACACAAACAACUUCAUUAAAAAAAUAAUUUACACCAAUUUACAAUAUUUCAGAGAACCUGUCAAACUAAGUAAACAUGGUAAUUUAAAAGCAAUAAAUGCAAGCACCGCUUAUAAGUGAAGUAGCAAUUGUCCGUAAUUUGGUACAUCAGGACGUGAUGGUAUGCCGCGCCCAGACAUUUCCAUGACAAUAGCGGGACGUUACCGAAUUAACAUAACAGAUUGCUUUAUAGGUCAGCGUCUGCGGUUGUUGUCGUCGCAUUUUGAGCGAGCGUUCAUCAAACAUGCUGGAAAUAUUGGGGAACCUUGGAAAUCUAUGAGACGCGGACAUGGCCCAAGUGUUAUUACGAUCUCGAUCCGCCGCAUAGCUGUGGCACUGAAAAUAUCAAUAUAUACAGCCCAGGGGCGCAGGACCCUGACCAGACUAAAGCCACAACGAUAUUACUUAUACUGCCAAAGCAGGGCUUGUUACAUCUACCUUUUUGUCGGACACUUUUUGCCAUCUUUCUGCUGAGAGAGAGGGCAAUAACGAAACGGUGUAGAUAAUAAUAAACUACCUAUAAUAGCCCCUUUAAUGCACUCUCUGAUUACGCAUUGUAUUUCAGAACUUGAGCUCUCUGUACACUGGCCUUUUAUACUAAAACUACUUACGCGAGCUAGCCCGACAUUCGUAACACACGGUCAAGUGACACGAAGCCUAAUCAUAAACAAUUAGUCAGCUAGACCGUCGUAAAUCAUUUACCCGCUUGUUGACGAGCGGCCGAUUAUUUUCAACAUUUCGGAUUGUUUCAUCACAUCAUUCAAUGGCGCCAUUGUCUUAGAGUUGAUUAUAGUUGUGUGUUUACGUUUCCUGUUUUUGCACGGUCGUUCGUGGACAUGACAUAUGAGUGUUUACUACAGACAUGCUCUAAGGAGUAAACUAAAGAUUUUGUAGAAAAAGAAUAUAAAUAAAAUGAUGCUAAUCAUUGACGUAGCUGUGGGCGAAGCGGCCCCUCGCCCACAUCAGCCUCACACUUAACAGGGCCCCGCGGGAACCAACCCUUUUUAGGGUUCCGUAGCCAAAUGGCAUAAAACGGAACCCUUAUAGUUUCGCCAUGUCCGUCUGUCUGUCUGUCUGUCUGUCUGUCUGUCCGAGGCUUUGCUCCGUGGUCGUUAGUGCUAGAAAGCUGAAAUUUGGCAUGGAUAUAUAAAUCAAUAAAGCCGACAACGUCGUACAAUAAAAUUUAAAAAUUUAAUUUUUUUAGGGUACCUCCCCUACACGUAAAGAGGGGGUGAAUUUUUUUUUUCGCUUCAACCCUAGAGUGUGGGGUAUCGUUGGAAAGGUCUUUCAAAACUAAUAGGGGUUUUCAAGAAACAUUUUUUGAUAAAGUGAAUAUAUUCGGAGAUAAUCGCUCCAAAAGAAAAAAAAAAUGUGUCCCCCCCCUCUAACUUUUGAACCAUAGGUCCAAAAAAUAUGAAAAAAAAAUCGUGGAAGUAGAGCUUAAGAAAGACAUUAAAUGAAAACUAUUACACCAAUUCUCCAUACACUCCCCUCCCUGUUUAUACUCGAGGUGGCCAAGUUCGUACGAGCGUUUUUGAUUUGUCUUCAUUCCUCAAAAAACAGUGGAACCGCAAAAGAUUUCGGGACAUGCGUCAGCAUGACUUGAAACAGCCUGAAAAGCCCACUCAUCAACGUGUACAGUCAGCGUCAAAUACUUUGUAGCAGUUAAAGUGGCCAAAUAGUUCGGUACACCAUACUAAAUAUAUGGUGUACCGAACUAUUUGGCUACUUUGGUUGCUACAAAGUAUUUGACGCUGACUGUACCAUCAGUCGUAAAAGUGCCUGGCGACUUUACAAUUAAUCAUCAAUCAAAAUUUCUCGAUACAAUUUCGCAGCUUACCAUACUAUUAACUUUCGGGAACAGAAAAGACAAAUUAACUUAAAUAUGAGCUUUUAAUUAGAUUAGACAUGCCUAUAGUUUUGAAGUAUUUUUGUUUAAGUGAAAUAAAUUAAUUUGUUACAAA
Cydia pomonella (codling moth) is the source of this 3909-nucleotide long non-coding RNA. RefSeq lists it as uncharacterized. The transcript is spliced from 2 exons. The record is from RefSeq and is a predicted model, not a curated record. NCBI's taxonomy places the organism in Eukaryota, Metazoa, Arthropoda, Insecta, Lepidoptera, Tortricidae.